UAAACCUGAGAAACCCAAAAGAUCGAACGGGGAGAUUCAUCGUUGGCGUUAUUGGCUUCCUUGAGGCUCGCGAUGGUUCGGACUUCGGUCAUGGGCCACGUAGUCGCUAUGGUAUGUCCGGUAUCGUCGAUGUGCACUUCUCCCCUAGUAGGACGUCGCGACCCGUUGGGUGCUGGCCUACGGUCCGGUCGAAUGCCUGUCGUGAUUAGCGUUAAUAGCGCUUUCGCGGCAGACGAUUGGUUACCUGGCCGGCUGCCCGGCGGUAUAGAAAUAUCUAAAAACGGUAUUGAGCCGCAUUAAGUGCGUCAGGCUCGUCGGCAGGCUCGUCUCGCUCGGAUUUACGGACCCAGUACCGUUGCCGGGUGCUUGACGUGGCCGUUAGUCGACGAUGUCCUCGGACUGGCUUUAUACAUUCUU
This 417-nucleotide ribosomal RNA is filed under the name Lachaisea sp. JYR-1998. Its description in RNAcentral is "eukaryotic LSU rRNA". The record is from RNAcentral. Lineage: Eukaryota; Metazoa; Arthropoda; Insecta; Hymenoptera; Epichrysomallidae.